ACAGCAGCCGCCGCGGUAAUACGGAGGGGGCUAGCGUUGUUCGGAAUUACUGGGCGUAAAGCGCACGUAGGCGGCUUGGUAAGUUAGAGGUGAAAGCCUGGAGCUCAACUCCAGAAUUGCCUUUAAGACUGCCGAGCUAGCAGGUGAGAGAGGUAAGUGGAAUUCCGAGUGUAGAGGUGAAAUUCGUAGAUAUUCGGAAGAACACCAGUGGCGAAGGCGGCUUACUGGCUCAUACUGGACGCUGAGGUGCGAAAGCGUGGGGAGCAAACAGGAUUAGAUACCCCAGUAGUCCCUGUCUCUUAUAC
RNAcentral lists this ribosomal RNA (305 nucleotides) under uncultured bacterium. RNAcentral describes it as "partial 16S ribosomal RNA". It matches the Rfam family "Bacterial small subunit ribosomal RNA", at positions 508 to 807 of the family's 1533-position model. The record is from RNAcentral.